This 253-nucleotide ribosomal RNA is filed under the name uncultured bacterium. Its description in RNAcentral is "partial 16S ribosomal RNA". It matches the Rfam family "Bacterial small subunit ribosomal RNA", at positions 524 to 776 of the family's 1533-position model. The record is from RNAcentral.
UACGUAGGGGGCAAGCGUUGUCCGGAUUUAUUGGGCGUAAAGAGCGUGUAGGCGGCCUGACAGGUCUGCUGUGAAAACUCGAGGCUCAACCUCGAGAUGUCGGCGGAAACCGUCUGGCUAGAGUCCGGAAGAGGAGAGUGGAAUUCCUGGUGUAGCGGUGAAAUGCGUAGAGAUCGGGAGGAACACCUGUGGCGAAGGCGGCCCCCUGGGCCGGCCCUGACACUGAGACGCGAAGGCGUGGGGAGCGAACGGG